CAAAAAGAGAAGGCAAAUGUCACUGCAGGGCUCACUGCCUCUAGGCUGCUCAGCCGCCCGAACUUCUGGGGGAAGAGGUGCAGAAACCCUGAGAAAAGGGGAUCACGUAGGGCGUCGCUGAACCGGUAUUCCCAAGAGAGCUGCCAAGAACCAAGAGAACGCCUGCCACUCCUACGCCUCCCCAGAGACCCUGGGAGCCGAAGCCACACACCCGGGCCGGAGCGCGCACGGCCGAGCAGGGGCCACGUUUCCCGGCGCUAGCGUGGUUAGCGCUUCCCGGCCGCCAGCUCCCUCGGAAACUGCGCACGUGUGGGCAGCCGUGGCCACCGUGCACGGACCGGAGGACGCCUCUCGCCGCGGCUCGGACACUGGGCGCGCCAGCGGGAGCCGCGAAGAGCUGGAACCCCAAAGCCCUCGGAUCGCGUGGGCAGACGUGGAUAUAAUCACCUAAUGGAUGAGAAGCCUUCUGAACUUUGCAAUGGUGAUAUCGCUGAAGAGAAGCCACCCUCUGGAUGAUUAAGGGGACUCCUGGCAUAUGUGACCAGGCCCAUAAUCUUCAGAGACAUCAGACUUUUUAAAAUUUCAUUAAAUAAAUGUUAAGCUAGA
This is a long non-coding RNA of Mirounga angustirostris (Northern elephant seal), 606 nucleotides long. RefSeq lists it as uncharacterized. The record is from RefSeq and is a predicted model, not a curated record. NCBI's taxonomy places the organism in Eukaryota, Metazoa, Chordata, Mammalia, Carnivora, Phocidae. The transcript is spliced from 2 exons.